UUUGGCUGUUUUUUUCUCUUUGAGAAAGGUUUUUGACCACCUGGUGAGGGGAAAGGAGGCAGCCAGACGCCUACUAUCCCUUCGACAGGGCUCCCACAGCGUGGCAGAGUUGGCUGUGGAGUUCCGGACUUUGGCGGGGGUGAGUGGCUGGAAUGACGAAUCAUUACAGGGGGUGUUUACUAAUGCAUUGUCGGAGACCUUUGAUGAACCUACCUCUCUAGAUCAGCUUAUUUCCACAGCCUUAAGACAGGUCAACCGGAUCGGGGAGCGCCGGCGGGAGAGGGCCGCCAGAUUUCCACCUGUCCACCCACCUCCAGCCCCUCCCGCGGCCAGCGAACAUCCCUGAGUUACCACGAGGAAUCCCGAACCUGAGCCCAUGGAGGUAGGCCGUCGUGUUUGUUGGAUGAGGAAUGUGCACGCCGGUUGAACACUCGCUCCUGCCUCUACUGUGGUAUGUCUGGUCAUUUCAUUUCCUCCUGUCCCAGUUGCCCGGCUCACUAGUCGUGAGAGAAGCAUUAGUGAGCCGAGCUGCCUGUUCUCCCUCCCGGUUGCAGCUCAAUGCCUCCCUCCAGUGGCAAUCCCAAGUAUUACCAUUGUUUGCUCUUAUUGAUUCUCGCGCUGACGAGAGCUUCCUGGAUAGAAGGGUAGCUCGUCAGAUGCACAUACACACUGUCCCCCUCUGCCACCCCCUUGAGGCUAAGGCUCUAAAUGGCUUACCCCUGGCUCAGGUUACUCAUCAGACUGUUCCCAUUCAGCUCAUGGUAUCUGGUAAUCAUCAGGAGAGAAUUAAAUUGCAUAUUAUCGACUGCCCAUAGACUCCUCUGGUUCUUGGCUCCCCCUGGCUACAUUUGCACAACCCCCACAUAGAUUGGUCUAUUGGGAAGGUCAUAUCUUGGAGCACCACCUGCCACUCUAACUGUUUGUUUUCUGCUCAGACCCCUGCUGGUUCCAGACCCAAACUCCAGCCUGAGGCCCCAGAUCUCUCUGAGGUACCUGAGAUCUAUCAUGAUUUGGCACCGGUCUUCUGCAAACAUCAGGCCUCCUCCCUUCCCCCACACCGACCAUAUGACUGCUCCAUUGAUCUCCAGCCGGGAGUGCCUCUCCCCAAAGGCUGCCUCUACAACCUCUCCGGCCCGGAGCAUCAGGCCAUGGAGAAUUACAUCCGGGACUCUCUGCCUGCAGGCUCACGUGCGGCGCUGCUUCAGUGUGUGGAGGAGGACUAGGGCAGCCCUGAUUCACGCAUCCAGCACCAUGCAGAGGCAGGCCAACUGUCAUCGCCGCCCGGCCCCCACCUACACUCCGGGGCAACAGGUUCAAAAUCCUAUUCAGCGGUGAGCGGGCAACGAAACUGCGCCCAGCAGCCUCCAAGUGAACAUGACAUGAUCAGUCACCUGGGGUGACAAGAGACAAACUGGCAAGAAUUGGCUACACGGCACAUGGCUGCUUGAAAUGCGCCCGAUCUAGCCUCCAUCUCCUGUUGAAGCACCUUCACAUCUUUCUCUCUGUCCUGGAUUCUCUGCUGGAUGUUUUGUCGACUCACCUCGAGCUGUCUCUGCCUCUCAGUCCUUUCUGCUGCAGCUGAGACUAUGUCGUGGCCUUUAUGUUCAUCCACAGAGCAGAGAUAACAGAUACUCAGCUGAUCAGUACGGCAGAACAUCUUCAUCACCUCAUAGCAGAUGUUCUUCUGGAGCUUCUUGGUCCAGCUGAACUCCUUUCUGCGCCAUUUCACCUCUCAGUAGCAACGACUGUCUGAGUUUCACUUUCUUGUAAGUUAAUCUACUUUGAGCUCUGGUCCAAACAGCAUGUGUUUCUGCAGUGAAUAGGGUCUGUCAGCUCCUGCACGUCACCACAUGUUGGUUACACCAUCUUCAAACUGUAUGAUCGGAAGGGGAGGGAACAAGGAAAUAUAAGUUAUGGACAGAGAGGACCUUGCUGUGUUUUGAGAGGAAGAGGGAGGGGUUAUCAAUUUCUGAGUCAUUCCAGGAAGAGGAGCGGAUUGAGAGAGAUACUAUGUAUUUAACACUUGUUUACACUUGUUUUAAUUUCUCAUUGAAAAACACUGGUCACUUCAGCUUUUAAGAGGUAAAAUCUUCUUAGAACAAAAACAUAACAUGAAAGAAAAUGAA
Molecule: long non-coding RNA, 2126 nt
Organism: Micropterus dolomieu (smallmouth bass)
Lineage: Eukaryota; Metazoa; Chordata; Actinopteri; Centrarchiformes; Centrarchidae
Exons: 3
Source: RefSeq, a predicted model, not a curated record